Molecule: ribosomal RNA, 497 nt
Filed under: uncultured bacterium
Lineage: Bacteria
Description: partial 16S ribosomal RNA
Rfam family: Bacterial small subunit ribosomal RNA
Source: RNAcentral
GAUGAACGCUGGCGGCGUGCCUAACACAUGCAAGUCGAGCGAACAGACGAGGAGCUUGCUCCUCUGACGUUAGCGGCGGACGGGUGAGUAACACGUGGAUAACCUACCUAUAAGACUGGGAUAACUUCGGGAAACCGGAGCUAACACCGGAUAAUAUAUUGAACCGCAUGGUUCAAUAGUGAAAGACGGUUUUGCUGUCACUUAUAGAUGGAUCCGCGCCGCAUUAGCUAGUUGGUAAGGUAACGGCUUACCAAGGCAACGAUGCGUAGCUGACCUGAGAGGGUGAUCGGCCACACUGGAACUGAGACACGGUCCAGACUCCUACGGGAGGCAGCAGUGGGGAAUCUUCGGCAAUGGGCGAAAGCCUGACGGAGCAACGCCGCGUGAGUGAUGAAGGUCUUCGGAUCGUAAAACUCUGUUAUUAGGGAAGAACAAAUGUGUAAGUAACUAUGGACGUCUUGACGGUACCUAAUCAGAAAGCCACGGCUAACUACGUG